CUCGCGGCGCAGCCUCCCACCCUUGUCUCUAUACACCUGUUGCUUUGGCGGGCCCACUGGGGCCACCUGGUCGCCGGGGGACGCACGUCUCCGGGCCCGCGCCCGCCGAAGCGCUCUGUGAACCCUGAUGAAGAUGGGCUGUCUGAGUACUGUGAAAAUUGUCAAAACUUUCAACAAUGGAUCUCUUGGUUCCGGCAUCGAUGAAGAACGCAGCGAAAUGCGAUAAGUAAUGUGAAUUGCAGAAUUCCGUGAAUCAUCGAAUCUUUGAACGCACAUUGCGCCCCCUGGCAUUCCGGGGGGCAUGCCUGUCCGAGCGUCAUUUCUGCCCUCAAGCACGGCUUGUGUGUUGGGUGUGGUCCCCCCGGGGACCUGCCCGAAAGGCAGCGGCGACGUCCGUCUGGUCCUCGAGCGUAUGGGGCUCUGUCACUCGCUCGGGAAGGACCUGCGGGGGUUGGUCACCACCAUGUUUUACCACGGUUGACCUCGGAUCAGGUAGGAGUUCAUCACUCGCUGAAUUUAAGUGGGUUUUCAAUAAGCGGAGGAAUCAUUACCGAGUGCGGGCCCUCCGGCCCAACCUCCCACCCUUGUCUCUAUACACCUGUUGCUUUGGCGGGCC
This 616-nucleotide ribosomal RNA is filed under the name Penicillium sp. NBAIR-NEF15. RNAcentral's name for it is "eukaryotic LSU rRNA". The stretch from base 166 to 319 matches the Rfam family "5.8S ribosomal RNA". The record is from RNAcentral. Lineage: Eukaryota; Fungi; Ascomycota; Eurotiomycetes; Eurotiales; Aspergillaceae.